This 1249-nucleotide ribosomal RNA is filed under the name metagenome. RNAcentral describes it as "bacterial SSU rRNA". It matches the Rfam family "Bacterial small subunit ribosomal RNA", at positions 242 to 1520 of the family's 1533-position model. The record is from RNAcentral.
UAGCUCGUUGGUGGGGUAAUGGCUCACCAAGGCGACGAUCGGUAGGUGGUCUGAGAGGACGAUCACCCAGACUGGGACUGAGACACGGCCCAAACUCCUACGGGAGGCAGCAGUCGGGAAUUUUGCUCAAUGGGCGAAAGCCUGAAGCAGCAACGCCGCGUGAGGGAUGAAGGCCUUCGGGUUGUAAACCUCUUUUUCCAGGGACGAUAAUGACGGUACCUGAAGAAUAAGUCACGGCUAACUACGUGCCAGCAGCCGCGGUAAUACGUAGGUGACAAGCGUUGUCCGGAUUUACUGGGCGUAAAGAGCGCGCAAGCGGUCGUUCAAGUCGAGUGUGAAAGCCCCCGGCUCAACUGGGGAGGGUCAUUCGAUACUGAUCGACUCGAAGGCAGGAGAGGGAAGCGGAAUUCCCGGUGUAGUGGUGAAAUGCGUAGAUAUCGGGAGGAACACCAGUGGCGAAGGCGGCUUCCUGGCCUGUUCUUGACGCUGAGGCGCGGAAGCUAGGGGAGCAAACGGGAUUAGAUACCCCGGUAGUCCUAGCCGUAAACGAUGGACACUAGGUGUUGGUGGUAUCAACCCCACCAGUGCCGAAGCUAUGCAUUAAGUGUCCCGCCUGGGGAGUACGGCCGCAAGGCUAAAACUCAAAGGAAUUGACGGGGCCCCGCACAAGCAGCGGAGCGUGGGGUUUAAUUCGAUGCAACGCGAAGAACCUUACCAGGGCUUGACAUGACCAGGAAUCCGGCGGAGACGUCGGCGCCCCGCAAGGGGCCUGGCCACAGGUGUUGCAUGGCUGUCGUCAGCUCGUGUCGUGAGAUGUUGGGUUAAGUCCCGCAACGAGCGCAACCCCUAUCGUGUGUUGUAUCACUCACACGAGACUGCCGAGAGAAACUCGGAGGAAGGCGGGGAUGACGUCAAGUCAGCAUGGCCCUUACGUCCUGGGCUACACCCACGCUACAAUGGCCGGUACAACGGGCGGCGAAACCGCGAGGUGGAGCAAAUCCCUUAAAGCCGGUCUCAGUUCGGAUUGUAGGCUGCAACUCGCCUACAUGAAGCCGGAGUUGCUAGUAACCGCCGGUCAGCAUACGGCGGUGAAUAUGUUCCCGGGGCUUGUACACACCGCCCGUCACGUCAUGAAAGCUGGCAACACCCGAAGCCGGUGGGCCAACCCGCAAGGGAGGCAGCCGUCGAAGGUGGGGUCGGUGAUUGGGACGAAGUCGUAACAAGGUAGCCGUACCGGAAGGUGCGGCUG